GCCCCGAUGGCUCAGUUGGUUAGAGCGCAGGUCUCAUACGCACGUAUGAUCGGGUCUCAAUCCGGGCAAUCCUGAGGUCGCAAGUUCGAAUCUUGCUCGGGGCA
Transfer RNA from Hydnomerulius pinastri MD-312, 104 nucleotides. It matches the Rfam family "tRNA". Rfam says of the family: Transfer RNA (tRNA) molecules are approximately 80 nucleotides in length. Their secondary structure includes four short double-helical elements and three loops (D, anti-codon, and T loops). The record is from Rfam. NCBI's taxonomy places the organism in Eukaryota, Fungi, Basidiomycota, Agaricomycetes, Boletales.